Non-coding RNA from Myodes glareolus (Bank vole), 6090 nucleotides. NCBI's taxonomy places the organism in Eukaryota, Metazoa, Chordata, Mammalia, Rodentia, Cricetidae. The record is from RefSeq and is a predicted model, not a curated record.
AGACCACCGAAGAGGCAGCUUGUAACAUGCCCAGCUGAGAAAGCAAACAAGGACCUACUGCAAAGACCCACCACCGAUCAAAAGCAGAGAAUAAAUGAACAUGGGUACCUAGACUCAAUUCAUAUAUCUACGGUGUAACCAUAAACCCAAAGUUCAGAGACAGAACUAGAACAAGGAGCUGAAAAACUGUAAGAGGCAGAGGACAAGGAUGUUUGUUAUGAGUCUGUGCCUGAUAGAUAGGGAAAAUCUACCCGUUAUAUCUCACCAAUAUGGUCACCUAACCAAGACCUGCAAAUGAUACAAGUUGACUUGCCAAUAUGAACAAGAGAAAUCUCACAAGUUUUCACCCUCAAAUGAAAAACUACAGGCAAUCAGGCAAUCAAUGACUGCCAAGAAGAACAAUGGUUUUUUUUUUUUCCCUAGGAAUGAGCCCCCUGAUAUGCUACCUGAUCUCAAGUGGUCAGCUGUAAACACAUGUACAAACAAGCAACACAAAAUGAACUCAAUAGGUCACAUAUAAACACAUAAUGACCCAACAAAUAACUAAAGAAGAGGCUAUGAAUUUGAGAUGAGUCAAGGGAAAAGGAGGAAGGAGGUGGAUGGGGAGAAGAAGGUGGGGGUGGGAUGACGUGAAUAUAACACUCAUGAAUUCUCCCAAAAUAAUAAAAAAAAAUCAAAUUAAAGAAAGGAGUCCAAGAAGUACUCCUGAGUUUUUAGGUUUUAGAGAGAACUUGGAAGGAGCUGCAAAUGUACAGAGAUCUUCUCAGACAUACUAAUGUUCUCUAAGUACCUGGAUGAGCUGUUACAAUUUCCUUUCCGGUCUACCCCCCAUCAUGUGUCAAUCUCGUCCUCUGUAGAGAGUGAGCGAGAUCCUGAUUGAAAACGUGUUGUUGGCACAGACAUGGCCAUGUCAAGGACCCCAGUGCCUCAGUCUCAUGAGUGUGGCCAUGCGUCCCCUGGGUGAGGCCCACAGGGAUGGCAAAGUCUUUCUCUGAUCCAAGUGCAAACGUUGAUGGUGUGAGCAGAAGAAAAUGUCCACCAUGCCUAUCUUCCCUUAGAUACUUACUGUCUGAAGACUGCUCUCAAGAGUCUGCUCCUACCCCGAUUACGGAGACCUGCCUCCUCGUUCAGCAGUGGAUAUCUGUAGACAAUAACCCUGUCUCCCUCUUAAGUACUAUGUAAUAUUCCUGCUUCCCUGUUCAAACGCACAAAAUUAAUACACUGAGCUGCGGUGGUGCUGUGGCUUCGCCAUCAGAGUCUAGAUCACACAACUCCAACUUUUCUUUGUCUGUGUAUCUGUCAUUUCUUCAGUGUCUGUCUUUUCUUCAUUUCCUUGCUGUCCUAGUUAGGUUAAUCCCUCAAGCUGUGUAGGGUAUGGGAUACCCACCCUCCUUUAUUUCUCCUCUUCCCUUACCUCCUCCCCUUUCCUCUUUCUCUUCCUUUCAUCCUCUGUCCGUCUUCCUUUAUUCUAGAGCCACAUGUCCAGUCCUAUUUUUACUUCACAUUCUAAGACAAGAUCACACUAAUUUCUUCAAGUUCAUCUUGAAUUUAUAAUCUUCUUGCGACUGCCUCCAAGGGAGUCAGGGUAACAGGUUUGUGCACCAUGAGACCUGGGAGGGUUUUAUGAAUAGAGAAUUAUGCUGGGUUUUAAAAUUUGUUUAGCACUAGUCCCCAAUUAAUGGCUUUCUUCAUUUUGGUUUCCUGGCUAUUUUAAUGUGCUUACUUUAUAUAUGAACUUUGACUUGUCAAGCUGUAGAAAUCUCAUGCGUUUAAAAAAAAUUAUUUUACAUGUUCACAUUUGAAAUACUUUUUCAUAUUCUAAAGUGAGAUUUUUUCUUCAAAGGAUCUUUGGUUAUAACACCAAUGUCACUUUUAAAAAUUUACUUUUGUCAAAUUAAAUUAUUAAACAUACUUUAAUUAUGAAGUUGACAUUUUCAGUAUCAAAAUCAUAUAAAUUUCAUUAAUAAUAUUUAUUCAAAUGAUCACAAAUAUAAAGGUAUAAACUGUUUUAAAUUUUAUGAAUGAAAAUUCUACAAUUAUGAAACUUACCUAAGACUUUUAGGCUAGAUAUAUCUAAGAUACUCACACACAUGUUUAUGUAUGUACAUUAUGUAUCGUGAAGUAGCAUGAACCACAUUUGCAGUCAUACAUGGUUUCAUGAAGAGGGUAUGUUCCCAUGAAGAGGGUAUGUUCCCAUGAAGAGGGUAUGUUCCCAUGAAGAGGGUAUGUUCCCAUGAAGAGGGUAUGUUCCCAUGAAGAGGGUAUGUUCCCUGCUGCUACAUCAAAGAGAAGAAAGAAGCACAAUACUUCCUACUGACCCUGGCUGAAGAAUUCGUUGGUGACGGGAAUCGAUACUGUAAGCCUAAAUGAACUAUCAUGAUCUAAACCCCAAGAAAGCUGGGCUUCAGUUCAGCCUCGCCACAGUUACUGUUCGGCUAGGGACAUAGUCUUAGGACAAUCUAUCCCCGUCUGCAGUUUCCUUCGCUGCUCUGCAAAUGCGCAAAUGCCAAGUCUCCCUCUGAGACUUGCCAUGGCAAUAAAAGGAGCAAACACUCUCAGCUAUGCACAGAUAUCAUGGGGAUAUUGUGCCAGUGAUGUCUAGAAAUAGCUCCAAAGGCUGGCCUCACAAACCGCUAUGGCUUCAAACACAAAGACAAUUUAAUCACAUCUCACCUCGUCUUUGUAGAUUGCUCUACUGUAUUAUUAAUUUGUGUUUUCUCUAGCUCAAAAUGGGUUCUAAUUGUCCCUUGAUCUCUAAGCAACGUACUACUUUAGUUUAACAGUCCAGACAUGGUAGCUAAUGCCUAUCAUCACAGCACUUAGGAGGCUGAGGAGGUUUGGUCGUUGUGAGUUUGAGGUUAGCUUAGGCUCCACAGUAAGUUCCAGACCUGCCUGAGAUACUGUGAUCGCUACAUCAAUUAAUUCUAAAAGUCGUGCUGCCAUGAAGAUAGCAUUUGGAGGAAACAAACCACUUCAACUAUUUUUAUGUGCAAAGAAAAGUUCACAGAGAGAAAGGACAAAAUCUUACAAAACGCAUGUGGCUUUCAUGCUUGGCACUUCCUAUUUUCAUUUAACUUUUUCUCAUGGGACUCGCUUACUUCUGCUUCUCCUAUGAGUGUUUCGAAGCACCAAGAAAACUUUCAAGGGAGCCAUUUCUGAUGUCGCACAAAUGGGCUUAGGCCUCGCCAGUCUCACUUCUGAGUUGGUCAGUUUGCUAAUAGUGGCUUGGAAUCAGGAAAGAAGGGAGGGGUUGCAUUGUUUCCUAGAACUGUAGUUUAGAGUUUCCCCUGGGGCAUUUCAACCAGGAGUUUCUGAGAGACCCAGAUCCCUGGGAGUCAGGUCACAGGAGCUCAUGAGGUACAUGACUUGUGCUUGCUCUUUUAGUGUUCCAUCCCCCUGCCUCUGUCUCGAUGUUCCCAUUUGCUGUGACUCGGUUUCUCCUUUAACUGUAUCCUUUGGUCAGACACAAUGACAUUUAUGAGAGAGUUCCGUGAAGCAGAAUGGUUAUUCACUUCAUAGAUGUGAAAUUUAAGGCAUGCAGAUAUUAUCCAUCUGUCCAAGGAGAUUGAUCUGGGCCUCCCUAAUAUCAGGGCAGCUUGUCCGAGAGCCAUUUACCUCUAACUUCCAACCUUAUUCAGGCCACUCCAUUUUAGGACUUGUUUAUCUCAACGUUAAGCUAGACUAGCCUCAGGAUGACUACCUUCCAGGCCACUACACAUCUUUCCAAGGCCCUACUAAUAAAUCCUCCCCAGGCCCUGCCUGGAACUUGUCUGUUUUUGGUCCACUGACCAUUUAUAUCAAAAUCCCACCCUGUGUUAGCUGGCCUUAUGCUAGCUUGACAGAAGCUAGCGUCGUCUGAAAGGAGAGAGCCUCAGUUAAGAAAAUACCUCCAUAAAAUCAGGCUGUAGGCAAGCAUAUGGAGUAUUUUCUUAGUGAUUGAUGUGGAAGAGUUCAGUCCACUGUGGGUAGGGGCACCCCUAGGCUGGUGGUCCUGGGUUCUAUAAGAAAGCAGGCUGGGCAAGCUAAGAGGAACAAAUCAGGAAGCAGUGCCCCCUUAUGGCACCCACUUGUAUCAGCUCCUGCCUCCAGGUUCCUGCCCUGUUGGAGUUCAGGCCCUGAUUUCCUUCAGUUUUUACCACUUUUGCGGGAGGUGUGAACCCUGGAGAUUAGGGCUUAAAAAGGGGACUAAAGUUUCACUCAUGAGCCAGCUUUACUCAGAGUAUCAGACAGUUCACACUUGAGGGCUAAGAAAAAUCACCUGAGUAAGGUGUUGAAUCGCCAGGACAACCCACAUGUGGCAAAACAUGUGUUUCCAUAGAGACAUAUGAGUAACAACAGCUAAAUUGAACUCUUUCCUUCCUGCUACACCUGGUAGGAGCGUGAAAACACAGUCCAAGACCGCCUCUGUGUGUCGAAGGAACUGAGGCCACAAGACUCUUGUUUCUUUGGAGAUUUUCGGCAUUCUCACAAGCCUCCGUUCUGGGACUGUGUUCUGACACUUCAGUGAUGGACAGGGGUGUAGAAGUGUAAGCCAAAAAACUUUUUCCUUCCCAGGUUGUUUUAGGUCAUGGUGUUUUAUCACAGCCAUAGUAGCUCUAAGACAAACCUCACUGGAAGUUAGAAUCACUUUUGUAAGUCUUAAGCCUUGUAGGUGCCUGGGUUUUACCUCAGAUCAGUUAGAUGAGCUUAUCCUGGGAUAGAGAUUGAAUCUUCUCUUUUCUGAUAUCAUCCAGGGCUAAGGAUGACAAGCAUACAUCUACAAGUAUAUUAAUUAUCUGCCAAAACAGUGACUUAGGGUGGAAUCAACCUAUAUAACUUGUGUCCUUUCAAAUCCCUCUCUAAUAAUUCCAUACAUUGAAAUCAUCACUUACCUUGUACUUUCAAUUUAACUAUUUAAUAAGUAUUUGAGUGUUUAUCACAAGCUUGUUAAAUAUGAAACCCAAUAUCCAUGUCCGUUAUCUACGCAGUCUUCUAUCCUCAGGGAGUGGGUCACGGCUAAUAUUACUCCAUCAAUCAAAAACACACAAUCAAAAUUACAAUCUAAGCUCAUAUAAAAUCUAACGUUAUUUUGUUGGAUGACUCCCAUUCUAUAUUUUAUCCUUUCUCUCCAUCAUUUUUUUCAUUAAAUAUUUAUUAAAUUUUUAUUAUUUGGUACUUAUUUUGAUAUUUUCUGUUCACAGUUGCUGUCGUUUUAAGAAGAAUCUUUAUCUUUUGAUAUAGAAAGUCAUUGGCUUUUUAAAACGGGUUUCUGCUUUUACUUUUUAUGUUUUUCUUACUUUUUCUUGACCGUUUUCUACAUUUAUACAAUACACUUCAGUCAUUUCACCCCCCUCCCCCAGUUCCGCCCUCUUACCCUCCCUCUUGUCGAAAUCUUGCUUCUGAGCGAGUCCCCUCCUACUCCGAUUUUUCAUUUGUACGUGAGUUUACAGCUACUUCCUUGUGUGGGUGGGUGCUGCUUUACUGGGGAAUCAACAACUUAUCUUCUUGAAAACACUCUGAAACCGUUGCGAAGAGACCUCCGUUGCCGGUACUCCAGGCACUUCUCAUUCAAAUGUCUCUGAUGUGAUGUCGCAGAAGGUUCUGCAGGCCAAGUCAUCAGAAGGCUUAAGAGUCCCCGGUGGAGUCGAACUGAACACGGUUAAGCUGACCACCUUCGAUUUCUAAAGACUGUUUUGAAAGCCUGCACUGCCCGAGAUGAGGAUUUCAUGGUAACGGGCUGGAAACCAGCGCCUCCCUCCUCAUCUUGCACUUCAUGACUCGUUCAAAGAGGAAAACAGCGAAGGUUCCAGUUACCGAGUAAACAGGCUAAAAAUGUAUAUCCUGUGAACGAGCAGAGAAGGCCAAUCCACAGGAGUCUGAAGACUCAGAAAAGGUCUCACAGUGGUUGGACAAACACCUUUGUUCCUCCGGAUCGUCUCCUUCCGACCCUUAGAACCUCUCCCUCAAGUCCGGUUCCCCCCUUUCAAUAACCAUGCCCCUUUAUUUCUAUGACUCAUUUCCGCAGCUCUUAUAGCUGUGAACAAUUUUCAAAGGUCUCUAAAGUGAAGACAUUCACAGAAGAAAAUGGAAAUAAUAAAAUGUCUUUUAUCA